UGCCUUUGUGUUACCCAUUCAUUUUUUUUUUAUGAUGAAUGUGGCGUCAAACAAGGCAUACAGUAUACUCCUUGUCUCUCAUAGUGCCCUGAAGGUCUAAUGCCCUUGGCAUGGAGUCACAUGGGCACAGUA
Molecule: small nucleolar RNA, 132 nt
Organism: Pseudophryne corroboree (corroboree frog)
Lineage: Eukaryota; Metazoa; Chordata; Amphibia; Anura; Myobatrachidae
Product: small nucleolar RNA SNORA13
Exons: 1
Source: RefSeq, a predicted model, not a curated record